RNAcentral lists this ribosomal RNA (468 nucleotides) under uncultured bacterium. RNAcentral's name for it is "partial 16S ribosomal RNA". It matches the Rfam family "Bacterial small subunit ribosomal RNA", at positions 28 to 507 of the family's 1533-position model. The record is from RNAcentral.
GACGAACGCUGGCGGCGUGCUUAACACAUGCAAGUCGAACGGAAAGGCCCUGCUUUUGUGGGGUGCUCGAGUGGCGAACGGGUGAGUAACACGUGAGUAACCUGCCCUUUACUUUGGGAUAACUUCAGGUAACUGGGGCUAAUACCGGAUAGGAGCUCCUGCUGCAUGGUGGGGGUUGGAAAGUUUCGGCGGUUGGGGAUGGACUCGCGGCUUAUCAGCUUGUUGGUGGGGUAGUGGCUUACCAAGGCUUUGACGGGUAGCCGGCCUGAGAGGGUGACCGGCACAAUUGGGACUGAGAUACGGCCAAGACUCCUACGGGAGGAAGCAGUGGGAAAUAUUGCAAAAUGGGCGGAAGCCUGAUGAAGAAACGCCGCGUGCGGGAUGACGGCCUUCGGGUUGUAACCCGCUUUCGCAUGUGACGAAGCGUGAGUGACGGUAAUGGGUAAAGAAGCACCGGCUAACUACGUG